Molecule: ribosomal RNA, 386 nt
Filed under: uncultured bacterium
Lineage: Bacteria
Description: bacterial SSU rRNA
Rfam family: Bacterial small subunit ribosomal RNA
Source: RNAcentral
GGACCCGCACAAGCAGUGGAGCAUGUGGUUUAAUUCGACGCAACGCGAAGAACCUUACCAGCGUUUGACAUGGGAAGUGCCGGUUACAGAAUGGUAACCUUCAGUUCGGCUGGCUUCCGCACAGGUGCUGCAUGGCUGUCGUCAGCUCGUGUCGUGAGAUGUUGGGUUAAGUCCCGCAACGAGCGCAACCCACAUCCCUAGUUGCCAGCAGUUCGGCUGGGCACUCUAUGGAAACUGCCCGUGAUAAGCGGGAGGAAGGUGUGGAUGACGUCAAGUCCUCAUGGCCCUUACGGGUUGGGCUACACACGUGCUACAAUGGUAGUGACAAUGGGUCAAUCCCAAAAAGCUAUCUCAGUUCGGAUUGUCGUCUGCAACUCGACGGCAUG